Aedes aegypti (yellow fever mosquito) is the source of this 1448-nucleotide long non-coding RNA. RefSeq lists it as uncharacterized. Lineage: Eukaryota; Metazoa; Arthropoda; Insecta; Diptera; Culicidae. The transcript is spliced from 2 exons. The record is from RefSeq and is a predicted model, not a curated record.
CUCUCCGUCUCUGAUUGUCACUGUUCCUCUCUUUUGUCCUCUCGGCAUGGCUAACAACUCCCGUACCGAGUUCCACCCGAUGCAAAUAAGGAAAAUUCACACGAUAAGCGCGCACAACUACAGUGACAAAGCACUGGUGUCGCGACGAUGAUUGCCUCGAUGUCUGUGCCAGGAGCCAGGAUGAGCCUGCCUGCCAGAUGGGCUUUCCUCCCGAGAGUUUUUCGCGAGCCUCUUUUUCACAGAACCGCGAGAGGAGCCUGACCGAGCAGCACUCGAUGGAAAGGGUUUUUUCUCCGGGCGACCGACGACGACGACGGACGGGAAAAAUUUGGAUUUUCCUUCGACGGGACUGCUGGACUGGCACUGGAUGGCGAAUAUUAGACUAGAGGUUUACCUGGGUCCUUUGUGAAAAUCUAAAGAUUCGGUAGACCAUAUUCCCCGAUUCCCGAUUGGCAAGUUUUCGUGAUGCACCGUCCUGUGGAUUAUUAGGUUAAAAGUGAACAUUACUCAGUUGGUAAGAUCAAACCCAUGUAUAUGCACCAUGUUUAUUACUUAUCUGUAGAGUAUUCUCAUACCUCCCCCAUCCUUCAACAUCCCUACUCUCCCAAAGACCUCAGUUCCGCGCUCACCUUCCCAAACUCCAAAAUGAAGCACUCAUCCGCAAGAAAACCGUCGUUUAGAGCUCACUCAAAAAAAAAGCUCAACCAAUUUCUCACACCCACCAUGUGACCAACCUUCGCUGCCGUGAGCCGUCCUUCCUAGAGCGUGUGUCUAGCGCUUCGCGUAGUGGUUGUAGUUACCCAUUUGCAGGAACCCGUAGAUCCGAACUUGUGCUGCCGUUUCACAUGUUACAAGAACGGAUGUAUGGGAUUCUGCCGAUGUAUGGCUAAAGCAUCGAUCGAUUUGUGGGACAGUCCCAAUACAGCAUUUUCCAUCGGCAAUCCUGUAAGCUGCACUGGACAGAGCUCGGUGUCGAAUCCUGGAACAGUUCAGUAGAUAUCCCGCUUCUCAGUUUGUUGAUUUCGAAAGUGUUUGCAACCAUAUGAGAGAACGUGUUCUUUUUGCUGUCGGUUCACAUAUGCCGUUCACAUGUGUGCGCGCGAGAGUGACUGUUCGUGAUUGGUGAUGGUAGCGGUCCCAGCCUCCAAGAACUCCAAGUGAAAUGAGCACAAUUGUGGGAAACAAAGAUAUAACUCUGCUCGAAGUGCAUCCAGAAGUGUAUUGGCAGGGAACCAAUUGUUCAAACAGAGUGAACUGAAGCAGUAAACAAUUGAAUCAAUUUUUCUUGUCGUAGAAAGCUUCUCCUCCAAUCAAUUCCCGUGCCCAUUACCGCAUUUCCUUCUCCUUUCCUAACCCAUAUGCACAUAUUGAUAUUAUUUUCAAUUAGAGUAAGCAAAAAUCUCGAAUCCAAAAAUAAAAUGAGUUGAAAUAAAAACAAUCGAAAAUAA